GUUAGGAAUAUUGGACAAUGGGCGCAAGCCUGAUCCAGCCAUGCCGCGUGAACGAUGAAGGCCUUCGGGUUGUAAAGUUCUUUAGCCGAUGAUUAUAAUGACUGUAGUCGGAAAAUAAGCCCCGGCUAACUUCGUGCCAGCAGCCGCGGUAAUACGAAGGGGGCGAGCGUUAUUCGGAAUCACUGGGCGUAAAGCGUGCGUAGGCGGUCUCGUAAGUUAGGAGUGAAAGCCCAGGGCUCAACCUUGGAAUUGCUCUUAAUACUGCAAGGCUAGAAUCUCGGAGAGGAUAGCGGAAUUUCCAGUGUAGCAGUGAAAUGCGUAGAUAUUGGAAGGAACACCAGUGGCGUAAGCGGCUAUCUGGACGAGUAUUGACGCUGAGGCACGAAAGCGUGGGGAUCAAACAGGAUUAGAAACCCUAGUAGUCC
RNAcentral lists this ribosomal RNA (425 nucleotides) under uncultured bacterium. RNAcentral's name for it is "partial 16S ribosomal RNA". It matches the Rfam family "Bacterial small subunit ribosomal RNA", at positions 354 to 796 of the family's 1533-position model. The record is from RNAcentral.